RNAcentral lists this ribosomal RNA (330 nucleotides) under uncultured bacterium. RNAcentral describes it as "bacterial SSU rRNA". It matches the Rfam family "Bacterial small subunit ribosomal RNA", at positions 568 to 898 of the family's 1533-position model. The record is from RNAcentral.
UGUGUAGGCGGUUGGAUAAGUGUGGUGUGAAAUCUCCCGGCUUAACUGGGAGGGUGCGCUACAAACUGUCUGACUAGAGUGCGGGAUGGGAAAGUGGAAUUCCUGGUGUAGCGGUGAAAUGCGUAGAUAUCAGGAGGAACACCGGUGGUGUAGACGGCUUUCUGGACCGUAACUGACGCUGAAACACGAAAGCGUGGGUAGCAAACAGGAUUAGAUACCCUGGUAGUCCACGCCCUAAACGAUGCAUAUUUGGUGUGGGUCAUUCAUUUGAUCCGUGCCGGAGCUAACGCGUUAAAUAUGCCGCCUGGGGAGUACAGUCGCAAGGCUGAA